CCUACGGGAGGCAGCAGUGGGGAAUAUUGCACAAUGGGGGAAACCCUGAUGCAGCAACGCCGCGUGAGUGAAGAAGUCAUUCGUUAUGUAAAGCUCUAUCAGCAGGGAAGAAAAUGACGGUACCUGACUAAGAAGCCCCGGCUAACUACGUGUCAGCAGCCGCGGUAAUACGUAGGGGGCAAGCGUUAUCCGGAUUUACUGGGUGUAAAGGGAGCGUAGACGGCGACGCAAGUCUGAAGUGAAAUGCCAGUGCUCAACACUGGAACUGCUUUGGAAACUGUGUGGCUGGAGUGCAGGAGAGGUAAGUGGAAUUCCUAGUGUAGCGGUGAAAUGCGUAGAUAUUAGGAGGAACACCAGUGGCGAAGGCGGCUUACUGGACUGUAACUGACGUUGAGGCUCGAAGGCGUGGGGAGCAAACAGGAUUAGAUACCCGGGUAGUC
This 440-nucleotide ribosomal RNA is filed under the name uncultured bacterium. Its description in RNAcentral is "partial 16S ribosomal RNA". It matches the Rfam family "Bacterial small subunit ribosomal RNA", at positions 338 to 795 of the family's 1533-position model. The record is from RNAcentral.